Molecule: ribosomal RNA, 208 nt
Filed under: uncultured bacterium
Lineage: Bacteria
Description: partial 16S ribosomal RNA
Rfam family: Bacterial small subunit ribosomal RNA
Source: RNAcentral
UUCGUAGGCGGUGCGGCAAGUUGGGAGUGAAAUCUCUGGGCUUAACCCAGAGGCUGCUUUCAAAACUGCCGUGCUCGAGUGCGGGAGAGGCGAGUGGAAUUGCAGGUGUAGCGGUGAAAUGCGUAGAGAUCUGCAGGAACACCCGUGGCGAAGGCGGCUCGCUGGACCGCAACUGACGCUGAGGAACGAAAGCUAGGGGGAGCAAACA